Molecule: long non-coding RNA, 2059 nt
Organism: Musa acuminata AAA Group (dessert banana)
Lineage: Eukaryota; Viridiplantae; Streptophyta; Magnoliopsida; Zingiberales; Musaceae
Exons: 4
Source: RefSeq, a predicted model, not a curated record
GAGAGAGAGAGAGAGAGAGAAGAGAGAGAAAGAGAAAAUGAAGCCUAAGGUUAGAGGGCACAAUAAGAAUCCAGCCCUUAGGGUUUAGCUGUGGCCUCAGCUUAAAAAGGAGGCCAUAACCUAAGCCUGGACUCUAGUGGUGGCCUUCGUAAUCUGGUGCUGCGCCUCGGCUGAGGAGCUCUUCUUUGAUUUCGUCCCUAAUUCGCUGUAAAACUUUGGAUUUUGAGCUCGCCGUCAUCGUUAUCGUCCUUGGUUCGUUCUCCAAUUGCUGGAAAGACGUGAGGUCAAACAUCAUGCCGUGGGUGUCGUCCCUCCCGAUUCAUUACGACGGCAAUAAGAAGCGUGCUUGCCUAGUUGUCUUUUCCCGUGCUAUUGUGUAACACGAACUGAAGCCAAUUGUUUGGUUUAAUGACUCAAUUAUAUUGGAUUUGAAGUGGUGAUAAUGUACAUUGAGCUCGACUUAAAGAGAUACUGCACUGUGGAGGAAGUUGGGGAAAUCAUAAUGAACGUUAGAAUCAUUGCUUUCUAUCAAUUGAUGCAAUUUUGUCAGGCUGAGUACUUCCGCCAGUUGCUUAAGCCUGUAACGUAGUUUCAAAGUAAGCUGGGCUAUAAUAUCCUCUUUAGUCAUCGAUCUGCCAUAAGAAUAAUGAUAGAUGCAAGAUUGGGAAGAUAAUACAUUGGUGACAUAUAAUUUGCUACCACACAAUCUUUUCUAAAGUGAUAAUCUGGUAAGAUAUUCGGAAGCACAUAGUAACUUUUGGAGACACAAAAGGUGUCAACUAGCUUAGUUGAUAAAUACUUUGAUAGUCUAUCGCAAGGUCUUGAGACUGAAUCCUGUCUUGGUCACUUACUCAAAAAAAGAAAAAAAGAAAAUUGGAGACACAUUUGAAAGCCAUAUACUUCUGCCUGCUGAAGACCAUCCAACCAUCCCCAUUUCGGCAGCAAAGGAUCCAAUAAUCUUUUGUCUCCAUGCACGGAGACCCAAGAUAUUUUGCUGGAAAUGUACCACCCGCUCAUCCAUAUGAAGUGGGUGGCUACACCUAUAACAUCUAUACCAAUGGUGUUCCUACCCUUACCUUUGGUGCUGCUCAACCUGGGAGAAAAUAUGAAAUUCCUGGUACAUUUAGUAGAUUCAAGCACCAACUCUCUGAAACCUGCCCCAAGAACUUCAUUUUUAAUCAGAUGGACAACACAAAUCGGGUCAUGUCCCGCCCUGCUCUGGUUCACGAGUUUGGUUCCUCAAACUUCGAUGUUGGUGCUGCAUGUGUUGAAGAAUAUGGCAAAAUCAUUGGCAGAAAUACUGAUAUUAAAGAAGAAUGUUCAUCAUCUUUCAAAGAAGACACUGAAGAUAUUAAUGCACUGCUUAGUUCAGAAGAAGAAAAUGAUGAAGAUGACGAUGUAAUCAGCACCGGUAGGACUCCUGUCUACAACCAGGAUGACAAUUUCCCAGACUCACCACGCUUCAUGGAAGAUCUGGGAUGUCACACAUUGGGAAAUGCUUCCAGUCACAAGUCAACUUUGAACAGUGCCGAUAGAAAGAGGGAUAGGAUGAAAAAGAUGGUCGAAGCUCUCAGGGGCAUUAUACCUGGAGGAGAUCAGAUGGACACGACGGUCGUCCUUGAUGAAGCUGUUAGAUAUUUGAAAUCCCUCAAGUCAGAAGUUGAGAAACUCGGAAUACAGGACCUUGAUGACUAAAUUCAUCGGAAUUCUGAUUAUCCCAGUUCCAUUGCUAGAGAAUAAAAGAAGAUGCAUCGUAUUGGAGUUCCAUAUAACAAAGUAGCCAUAUUACUAUUCUCUCUCUGCAAUGCCUAUCCAAGGAAAGGACCAUCUUUUUUUUACUGUGUUGGUGGGCCUUUGUUGUUGCCCAUGAUGUUAUGAUUCUGAAGUGUGAGGUUUGUGUUCUCAGAGGUGUCUUUGUGUCUCCCUCCUUUAAUAUGUCUUUAUGUUCUUAGGAUGUUGUCUGAUGUUAUCAUGUUGGCAAGUACUUUCUGAUGUCUGGUCAUAGCACUCCCUAUAUUUAUAGCUCCACUUCAUUUUAAGUGGGCAUCCUUUUCAUUCA